Molecule: small RNA, 28 nt
Filed under: Bombyx mori (domestic silkworm)
Lineage: Eukaryota; Metazoa; Arthropoda; Insecta; Lepidoptera; Bombycidae
Description: ovarian small RNA-5614
Source: RNAcentral
UAACAAAUAACACGGAGGCCCGGGAGGA